GACGAACCGUGCGAACGUUGUUCGGAUUCACUGGGCUUAAAGGGCGCGUAGGCGGGUGUCCAAGUCUGGGGUGAAAUCCUUCGGCCCAACCGGAGAACAGCCUCGGAUACUGGAUGUCUCGAGGGGGGUAGGGGCACGCGGAACUUCCGGUGGAGCGGUGAAAUGCGUAGAUAUCGGAAGGAACGCCGGUGGCGAAAGCGGCGCACUGGACCACAACUGACGCUGAGGCGCGAAAGCUAGGGGAGCAAACAGG
RNAcentral lists this ribosomal RNA (253 nucleotides) under uncultured bacterium. Its description in RNAcentral is "partial 16S ribosomal RNA". It matches the Rfam family "Bacterial small subunit ribosomal RNA", at positions 524 to 776 of the family's 1533-position model. The record is from RNAcentral.